GAUGAAGAACGUAGCGAAAUGCGAUAAGUAGUGUGAAUUGCAGAAUUCAGUGAAUCAUCGAAUCUUUGAACGCACAUUGCGCCCCUUGGUAUCCCGAGGGGCAUGCCUGUUCGAGCGUCAUUUCACCACUCAAGCCUGGCUUGGUGUUGGGCGACGUCCUCUUUGGGGACGCGCCUCGAAACGCUCGGCGGCGUGGCACCGGCUUUAAGCGUAGCAGAAUCUUUCGCUUUGGAAGUCGGGGCCCCGUCUGCCGGAAGACCUGCUCGCAAGGUUGACCUCGGAUCAGGCAGGGACACCCGCUGAACUUAAGCAUAUCAAUAAGCGGAGGA
RNAcentral lists this unclassified non-coding RNA (329 nucleotides) under soil metagenome. RNAcentral describes it as "partial contains 5.8S ribosomal RNA, internal transcribed spacer 2, and large subunit ribosomal RNA". The stretch from base 1 to 120 matches the Rfam family "5.8S ribosomal RNA", at positions 35 to 154 of the family's 154-position model. The record is from RNAcentral.